UUAAGCGACUAAGCGUACACGGUGGAUGCCCUGGCAGUCAGAGGCGAUGAAGGACGUGCUAAUCUGCGAAAAGCGUCGGUAAGGUGAUAUGAACCGUUANCACUAUCGUUAACUGAAUACAUAGGUUAACGAGGCGAACCGGGGGAACUGAAACAUCUAAGUACCCCGAGGAAAAGAAAUCAACCGAGAUUCCCCCAGUAGCGGCGAGCGAACGGGGAGCAGCCCAGAGUCUGAAUCAGCUUGUGUGUUAGUGGAACGGUCUGGAAAGUCCGACGGUACAGGGUGAUAGUCCCGUACACCAAAAUGCACAGGCUGUGAACUCGAAGAGUAGGGCGGGACACGUGGUAUCCUGUCUGAAUAUGGGGGGACCAUCCUCCAAGGCUAAAUACUCCUGACUGACCGAUAGUGAACCAGUACCGUGAGGGAAAGGCGAAAAGAACCCCGGCGAGGGGAGUGAAAAAGAACCUGAAACCGUGUACGUACAAGCAGUGGGAGCACCUUCGGGUGUGACUGCGUACCUUUUGUAUAAUGGGUCAGCGACUUAUAUUCUGUAGCAAGGUUAACCGUAUAGGGGAGCCGCAGGGAAACCGAGUCUUAACUGGGCGUUAAGUUGCAGGGUAUAGACCCGAAACCCGGUGAUCUAGCCAUGGGCAGGUUGAAGGUUGGGUAACACUAACUGGAGGACCGAACCGACUAAUGUUGAAAAAUUAGCGGAUGACUUGUGGCUGGGGGUGAAAGGCCAAUCAAACCGGGAGAUAGCUGGUUCUCCCCGAAAGCUAUUUAGGUAGCGCCUCGUGAAUUCAUCUUCGGGGGUAGAGCACUGUUUCGGCUAGGGGGUCAUCCCGACUUACCAACCCGAUGCAAACUACGAAUACCGAAGAAUGUUAUCACGGGAGACACACGGCGGGUGCUAACGUCCGUCGUGAAGAGGGAAACAACCCAGACCGCCAGCUAAGGUCCCAAAGUCAUGGUUAAGUGGGAAACGAUGUGGGAAGGCACAGACAGCCAGGAUGUUGGCUUAGAAGCAGCCAUCAUUUAAAGAAAGCGUAAUAGCUCACUGGUCGAGUCGGCCUGCGCGGAAGAUGUAACGGGGCUAAACCAUGCACCGAAGCUGCGGCAGCGACACUAUGUGUUGUUGGGUAGGGGAGCGUUCUGUAAGCCUGCGAAGGUGNUGCUGGAGGUAUCAGAAGUGCGAAUGCUGACAUAAGUAACGAUAAAGCGGGUGAAAAGCCCGCUCGCCGGAAGACCAAGGGUUCCUGUCCAACGUUAAUCGGGGCAGGGUGAGUCGACCCCUAAGGCGAGGCCGAAAGGCGUAGUCGAUGGGAAACAGGUUAAUAUUCCUGUACUUGGUGUUACUGCGAAGGGGGGACGGAGAAGGCUAUGUUAGCCGGGCGACGGUUGUCCCGGUUUAAGCAUGUAGGCUGGUUGUCCAGGCAAAUCCGGAUAAUCAAGGCUGAGGUGUGAUGACGAGGCACUACGGUGCUGAAGUAACAAAUGCCCUGCUUCCAGGAAAAGCCUCUAAGCAUCAGGUAACAUCAAAUCGUACCCCAAACCGACACAGGUGGUCAGGUAGAGAAUACCAAGGCGCUUGAGAGAACUCGGGUGAAGGAACUAGGCAAAAUGGUGCCGUAACUUCGGGAGAAGGCACGCUGGUGUGUAGGUGAAGNUGGAGCUGAGACCAGUCGAAGAUACCAGCUGGCUGCAACUGUUUAUUAAAAACACAGCACUGUGCAAACACGAAAGUGGACGUAUACGGUGUGACGCCUGCCCGGUGCCGGAAGGUUAAUUGAUGGGGUUAUCCGUAAGGAGAAGCUCUUGAUCGAAGCCCCGGUAAACGGCGGCCGUAACUAUAACGGUCCUAAGGUAGCGAAAUUCCUUGUCGGGUAAGUUCCGACCUGCACGAAUGGCGUAAUGAUGGCCAGGCUGUCUCCACCCGAGACUCAGUGAAAUUGAACUCGCUGUGAAGAUGCAGUGUACCCGCGGCAAGACGGAAAGACCCCGUGAACCUUUACUAUAGCUUGACACUGAACAUUGAGCCUUGAUGUGUAGGAUAGGUGGGAGGCUUUGAAGCGUGGACGCCAGUCUGCGUGGAGCCAACCUUGAAAUACCACCCUUUAAUGUUUGAUGUUCUAACGUUGGCCCCUUACCGGGGUUGCGGACAGUGUCUGGUGGGUAGUUUGACUGGGGCGGUCUCCUCCCAAAGCGUAACGGAGGAGCACGAAGGUUAGCUAAUCCUGGUCGGACAUCAGGAGGUUAGUGCAAUGGCAUAAGCUAGCUUGACUGCGAGCGUGACGGCGCGAGCAGGUGCGAAAGCAGGUCAUAGUGAUCCGGUGGUUCUGAAUGGAAGGGCCAUCGCUCAACGGAUAAAAGGUACUCCGGGGAUAACAGGCUGAUACCGCCCAAGAGUUCAUAUCGACGGCGGUGUUUGGCACCUCGAUGUCGGCUCAUCACAUCCUGGGGCUGAAGUAGGUCCCAAGGGUAUGGCUGUUCGCCAUUUAAAGUGGUACGCGAGCUGGGUUUAGAACGUCGUGAGACAGUUCGGUCCCUAUCUGCCGUGGGCGCUGGAGAAUUGAGGGGGGCUGCUCCUAGUACGAGAGGACCGGAGUGGACGCAUCACUGGUGUUCGGGUUGUCAUGCCAAUGGCACUGCCCGGUAGCUAAAUGCGGAAGAGAUAAGUGCUGAAAGCAUCUAAGCACGAAACUUGCCCCGAGAUGAGUUCUCCCUGAGACUUUAAGUCUCCUGAAGGAACGUUAAAGACGAUGACGUUGAUAGGCCGGGUGUGUAAGCGCAGCGAUGCGUUGAGCUAACCGGUACUAAUGAACCGUGAGGCUUAACCUU
Molecule: ribosomal RNA, 2838 nt
Filed under: Klebsiella pneumoniae
Lineage: Bacteria; Pseudomonadati; Pseudomonadota; Gammaproteobacteria; Enterobacterales; Enterobacteriaceae
Description: bacterial LSU rRNA
Rfam family: Bacterial large subunit ribosomal RNA
Source: RNAcentral